UAUUUUUCAUGGGAUGACAUAGCAGCUUGAUUUUAUAAAGAAAGAGCUAAAAAUUUAGCUGGGCAACACAUCAGCAUGUUUAAAUUUGAGAGAUUUUCAUGGGUUGACACCUAGCAAACUAGUUUCUUAGGGGACGUUUGGUAGCAUGUCUAAUAGGAUUACAUGUAAUUUUGCAACAGGUAAUCAGAUUACACUGUUUGUAUCAUUAUUUUUACAGGUAAUACUGCAUUAUAUGUAAUGCAGGAUUACCUCAAAAAGAGGUAAUCUGAUUGCCUAGGGAGAGAUAGUUAUGUGAUUAUAUGUAAUCUUACAAUCCUGCAAUCUUGCAGUAAGAUAACUUCAGGACCAAAAUACCCCCAUCAAAAUAAAUUAUGGAUAGUCCCAGUUGGUAAAAAUAGAAAAGAAAACAUAAUGGGUGAUGUCACGAAAAAUGGUUGGUCUCAAAAUUAAGUUGUUCCUCUAGAAAAUAGACAAUAAUCAAUAAACAAGGAUGGGGGUAUUUUGAGAAAAUUUGCUUAAAUUUCAUAUAAUCUAAAUUGUAUACUAAAUACUACAAUGUAGGAUUUUCUGUAAGUUUAUAACAAUAUUACUGCACAUACCAAAUACUGCAAUAUAGGAUUUUCUGUAAUUUUAUCAAGUAAUCACAUUCUUUUUGUAAUCACAUUACCAUAGUAACAUUACCUAUGUAAUGCGCCAAAUGCCACCUUAAAUUAUUUACUUCCAACUUAGCCACCGGUUUCUCUUGUUUGCUCUUGUAGUUCUUUGGUAACAAAAGAAAGAAUAGAGAGGGAAAAGAGCUAGAGAAGGAUAAGUUUUGAGGGAAAUUCAGCAAGAAAAAGAGAUGUCAAAUUAGAGAACAGGGUUGCUGAAAUUUGUUGGCAGUUGGGAAAAGAAGAAAACAGUGAUGAUUUCAGUAGAGGUUUUGAUCUCUUAAGGUAAGAAUUUUAAUCCUUGCAUGUAAUUUAAGUGGACCCUAGAUAGUUACUUUCAGAUUUGAUAUUUUGACGAGUUAAAUUAUGAGUUUAAACUUAAAUUAGAAAGUGAAUUGUUGCUAUCAGAAUUUUAAUGAAACCAAUCUGAAAUUUCUGCAAAUAGUUUGUUAAAUGAGCUGAAUUUAAGUUGAAUUUUUAAUGACAAUUAUAAAGCUUGAUGUUCUGAUGAACUGGAAUAUAAAUCGUGAAUUUAAAGGGAAGAAUCAGUGCUAUUGAUGGUUUUAUCAAAAGCUAUUUAAACUGUUUUCAGCAAUUAAGUGGGAAUUGGUGUUGGUUGAGCUUAGAACAACUUAUGAAGACAGAAUACAGCUGAAUUACUGAAAAUUAUAAAGUUUAUGAUGAAGUUUAGUUAAUACUAAGUAGAGUAAAAACAAAUAGAAUAAAGUUAGAGCUAGAAGAAUUAAUGUUACUAUGGGUUUUAUUGAAAUCGGUUUGAAUUGUUUUAACAAUUAGAUGAAGAUGUAAUAGCUGAAUUUGGGAUAGACGAUGAAAGUGAAAAAUAGUCAAUUUGCUGGAAAUUCUUGAGUUAUGUUGAACCUUAGUUAACCCUAAAGCAGAGCAAAACAAGAUUAAGUAAAAGUAAGAACUAAAAGAGUUAAAGGUUAAGCAUAACGAAGCAAAGCAUGUUGUCUCAUACUCUUGUAUCAUGUUAGAAUGGCAUUAAUUAGUGUCUAUCAAUUGUAUGGACAAGAAAGAGAGCUUAAGAAGGGCUUUGGGAGAGUCAAGCAUCAAAGUAGUUCAAUAGUCAUUUGAGGUGAGUGGGUGUUCUAUCUAAUUGUGAUGUUUUUCUUAUGAUAUUUCUUAUGGAAGUAAUUGACUAAAGAGUAAGUUUAAUUUCUGUUAUUUUCAGCUUAACUUAUGUAUAUGCAAGCAUGGAAACAGAAAAUAAAUUAUAUUGAAAAGCUAUUCAAGAAUAUAUAUAGAUGUGUAUGUGUAUCAAGUUUGGACAGAUGAUUGUUUUGAUUUGAAAAUGCUUUUGAGCUAGCUUUUCGGCAUAUGUAAUUCAACUUUCCAGCAUAUUGACAUUAGCAUCUAGUAUAAGCAUCAGUAUUAGCAUUUCAUAUAACAUAAAAAUAGUCGUACCUCCUUACGAAACAGUAUCCCUGUGGGGGUCCAACAGUAUCAGAUGCUCCGUAUCGAUACUAUGGUAGGGGUGCGCUGUGGGAUAAUCGACGGUAAUCCAGCCGGCACCUCCUUGCAAAUAGUUAUGCCCAAUGGAGCCCAGCAGUAUCAGAUGCUCCGAAUCGACGAUCAUGAUAGGGGUGCGCUGUGGGAUAGUCGACAAUAGCCAGCAGCAGCAUGAUUCAUUACAUGGUUUCGUUAUUGAAUAGCAUAUCAGAAUUUUGAAAGUAUGUAGCAUAUCAGAAUUUUUGAAAGUAUGUCAGCAGUUUCAGCUCUAAAUAUUAUGUUAAAUAUUUAAACUAAGUUUUUCUGAUUUCUUAUUAUUAGAUAGUUUAUUCACUCAUUGGGACUUAGGUCUCACUCCCCCUCACUUCUUCAUUGCAGUUUUGGAGCAUCUCAGUCAGGUAUAGAUUACAAGUAUCAGCAUCCUUAUCAGUAUUAGUACUAGAAAAGCUUGGUCUUGUUAAUAAAUAUGAAGAGUAUGUUUUGUAAUAUUUGGUACAUUGAGUUGUUCGUGCUAGCUUAUGGAGGGAAUGUAUAUUGAAAUAUAUUAUGUGUGUGGAGUUAUGAAAGUUGUAGAUGUUAAAUGUGUUUUAUUUUUGAAUUGUAUGUACAAAGCUUAGUGUGAUAAAUAAAAUCUUGAGUUUAAUGUUGAGGAAUAAUGUGUUAAGAUUGAAUUGCUUGUGUUAGAAUAUUGAGAAGUUUAUUAAAUCACAUUUAUCAGCUCAGCUAUAGUUUAGUAAUUUCUUUCGCCCUUAGUUAAGGAUGGGUGUAACACUGUCAUCCGAUUUUAGGGGUGGGGUGUUACAUGUUUGAUAUCAGAGCAAAUGUUUAUGAUUAUUUGGAAGACAGAGCAAAGGUUUAGGAUCAUUUGGGAUUAUGAUUUAAGUGAAAGGAGAAAUUGGGUUUAUAGUUACUAGAGAUUGUGGUACAAAUGAUAUUAGAAACUAGUGAUUCAAUUAUAAGUAUUUCUUUAGAUCCUAGAAGAUAUAUUUUGAACAUAAGCUGGAUGGUUUUCGAAAAUUAAAAUACAUACUUUUGUGAUGCUAUGAAUUGUUAUGCAUAUCUUUGAGAUAAAUAAGAUUACAAGUUUUUCUACAGAUUGAGAUAUUAUGAUCUUAAUUAUAGCAAGUUAUGCCAGACGAACAAGGUUUAAUAGUAGCUUGUGAUCUCGGGCACAAGAUGCUAGCGGACUUCUGCUCGGCUGUCAUACCCCUGCUCAAUUUAGGGAAUGGAUAUUUUGGCUAAUAAGUAUAAGUUGAGUAAGUAUAUUUAUAUUGCUGAUAGUUUUUGAGAUAAAUGAAAUAGGUGAAUUUUUAUAUUCACCGCUUAUGUUGAAUAUUGAUUUCCAAUUAGUGAGUAGUGGAUUGUAAUUCAUAAGUUAUGUGAAGAGUUCUUGUAUAAGAUGGUAUGAGGAGCAAUCCUAAAAAAAAAAAGAAGAACAAUUAAUUGUACGAGUAUCAAAUCAUUUAGUGAAUCUUAUUUUUGCUAGAGAUGAUUUUAUAGCGAUGACUAAUUUGGAAUGUUAAUUGCAGAUCAUGAAAAUAAUCGACAUAUCUUUAAAGAUUAUCUUAGUCGAGAUCACAAGGAAGUUGGGACUUCUAGAUCCAGUCUAUAGAGCGGAGGUAAAUGAGGGACGAUAUGUUAAAUCUUAUGUGGAAGUAACCAUUAAUAGAGAAGAGCAAACAUAUGAGACUUUUAGGUCAAUGGGUCCUUCGGGUGUAGAGCCGUUGAGAUCGGAAGAGCAGGCGGCGAUUUAUGCUCGCAAUAAUUUAAAACAUCAUUUUCAGUUUGAAGUGCGAGAUGUUAAUUUUGAGGAUAUGGAAGAGCAUAAAUAUUCCUUUUGAAGAGUAAGAGCAAAAUAUAAUGCUGCAAAUGCGGAACUUCAACAGCUGAGAUGGGAAUAUCAAAGACUGAGUGACCUAAAUAGAAGAUAUAUUGAUGAAUGUUCUACCUUGGGACGGCAAGUAAGAAGAUUAAGAGAGGGACUUUCUUCCAAUACUGAAUCAUCCUCUGGAGAAAAUUGAGGUUGAGGAGGAGAUAAGAAAGGUAUGAUUACUAUUGUUCAAAAUAAAUUUAUGCACACUUAAUGAUUGAAAAUAUUUUAAUUUGAGUUUAUUUGAGUGCUAGCCUAAAUUGAAAGAUUCAAAGUGGUAUUUAUACAUUUAUGAAAUAGUAUAAUUGUGUUUGUUGUUAUAAAAAGGUUGGCGUGUCGACUGAAUAAUAAGUUAUAAUUAUGAUGGUUAAGAGAAAAAGAUUAUAGUGAAAUAAAUGCUAAAAUAAUCAAGAUGAUUUGGAAGAAUGUUUAAGAUUGAUUAAGAGAAGGGGGUGGUUCUUGAGCCUGCUCGAUUUCUCUUGAAGUCGACCCAUUUUUUCUUCGAAUUGACUCGAAAGUAUUUUGGAGUCGACUUGAUCACAGGCCACAGAAUUUGAUCUUCUGUUCUCUGUGGUGGAGUCGACUUAAUUUGGUGUUGAACCGACUCGAUGUCGUGUCAGACCUAUGUGCCAGCUUUCAAAAUUGUGCCGGAGCCGACUCCAUUCUAUUUUGAGUCGAUUUUAAUUCUUCAAGCAAUCUUUUUAUAUAGAAUUUGUCUUCAAUUCAGGUCUAAUUUGUUCAAGAUGUUCCUAAUUGGUUUCAAUCUCAUUUUCAUUGUACUUUCAUCUACAAAAAGCAUUUUUAAGAAUAAUUUGAAGGAUAAUAGUAUAUUCUUAUAUUUUAAUGUUGGGUUGUUAUCAAAAUUAUUCUUGAAGUCAGCAAAUUUAACUAUUGCAAUUACAUUUUGGAGGAAGAUGAUACCGUGGUACAGAUAAUAUCAGGAUUUGAUUGAGAACAGCCACCAGUAGAAGGUAGAGAUUAAAAACAUGAACUAGUGUAAAGAAGAAAAAUAAUUGUGUUCUUGGAGUUAUACUAUUAGUUAAAGUUUUAUGAUAGAAUCACAGUACAAAAGAAGUUAUAUGGGAAAAAAAUAAAAUGAAAAUAAAUUUUUCUAGUUGUUCUAGACUAAAAGUAACUGAAUUUUGAGGAUGAAAUUCUUUGGAGGGGAGAGUUGUAACACCCCGAACCGAGGAUGUGGUAGUUUGAGAGAUUUGCAUUUCAUAUUAAUAUUUACUCAAAUGUGACAUGGUUUAUCAUUCCUAAUAUAUCUAAGUAUUGAAUGAGUAGUUGGUUAGUGGUAAUAAAGCAUAACUUUAAUUGUUAGUUGAGAAAAAAAAUGGUUGAGGAAUUUGAUUAAUAAUAAUGGCAUUAAAGUUAAAUUUUGAUGGUUAUUGAGCAUAGAAUGAAUGAUUUUUGGAAUGAUUCUUUAGAUAAUAUUGGUGUGGGUGGCAACUUGGAAGUAUAAAUUCAUGAUUUAAAGCAAAAUUCUAAUACCUAGGGGAUGGAGUCGACUCGAGCUUAGGGAGUCGACUCGAGCCGUGGGAAAAGCUAAGAGACGGGAUUCAGCUGAAGUGUUUUAACUUGAAAUUUAAAAGGUAUUUUCCAUGGGAUGACUUAGCAACUUGAUUAUAUAAAGAAAGAGAUAAAAAUUUAGCUGGGCAACACAUCAGCAUGUUUAAAUUUGAAGGAUUUCCAUGGGUUGACACCUAGCAAACUAGUUUCUUAAAUUAUUCACUUCCAACUUAGCCACCGGUUCCUCUUGUUUGCUGUUAUGGUUCUUUGGUAACAAAAGAAAGAAUAGAGAGGAAAAAGAGCUGGAGAAGGAUAAGUUUUGAGGGAAAUUCAACAAGAAAAAGAGAUGUCAAAUUAGAGAAGAGGGUUGCUGAAAUUUGUUGGCAGCUGGAAAUGGAAGAAAACAGUGAUGAUUUCAGCAGAAGUUUUGAUCUCUUAAGGUAAGAAUUUUAAUCUUUGCAUAUAAUUUAAGUGGAACCCUAAAUAGUUACUUUCAGAUUUGAUGUUUUGAUGAGUUAAAUUAUGAGUUUAAACUUAAAUUAGAAAGUGAAUUGCUGCUGCCAAAAUUUUAAUGAAACCAGUCUGAAAUUUCAGCAAAUAGGUUGUUAAAUGAGCUGAAUUUAAGUUGAAUUUUUAAUGACAAUUAUAAGGCUUGAUGUUCUGAUGAAUUGAAAUAUAAAUCAUGAAUUUAAAGGGAAGAAUCAGUGCUACUGCUGGUUUUAUCAAAAGCUAUUUAAAUUGUUUUCAGCAAUUAAGUUAGAAUUGGUGUUGGUUGAGCUUAGAACAACUUAUGAAGACAGAAUACAUCUGAAUUACUGGAAAUUGUAAAGUUUAUGAUGAAGUUUAGUUAAUCCUAAGUAGAGCAAAAAUAAAUAGAAUAAAGUUAGAGGUAGAAGAAUUAAUGUUGCUAUGGGUUUUAUUGAAAUCAGUUUGAAUUGUUUUAACAAUUAGAUGAAGAUGUAUUAGCUGAAUUUGGGAUAGAUGAUGAAAGUGAAAAAUAGUCAAUUUGUUGGAAAUUCUUGAGUUAUGAUGAACCUUAGUUAACUCUAAAGCAAGGCAAAACAAGAUUAAGUAAAAGUAAGAACUAAAAGAGCUAAAGGUUAAGCAUAACGAAGCAAAGCAUGUAGUCUCAUACUCUUGUAUCAUGUUAGAAUGGCAUUAAUUAGUGUGUAUCAACUUUAUAGGACAAGAAAGAGAGCUUAAGGAGAGCUUUGGGAGAGUCAAGCAUAAAAAUAGUUCAAUAGUCAUUUGAGGUGAGUGGAUUUUCUAUCUAAUUGUGGUGUUUUCCUUAUGAUAUUUGUUAUGAAAGUAAUUGAUUAAAGAAUAAGUUUAAUUUUUGUUAUUUUUCAGUUUAACUUAUGUAUAUGCAAGCAUGGAAAUAGGAAAUAAAUCAUAUUGAAAAGCUAUUCAAGAAUAUAUAUAGAUAUGUACGUGUAUCCAGUUUGGAUAGAUGAUUGUUUUGAUUUGAAAAUGCUUUUGAACCAGCUUUUCUGUAUAUGUAAUUCAGUUUUCCAGUAUAUUGACGUUAGCAUCCAGCAUAAGCAUCAGUAUUAGCAUUUCAUAUAGCAUAAAAACAGUCGAUACCUCCUUGCGAAACAGUAUGUCCGUUGGGGUCCAAUAGUAUCAGAUGCUCCAUACUAUCAUGGUAGGUGUGCGCAGUAGAAUAGUCAACGGUAGCCCAGCCGACAUCUCCUUGCGAACAGUUAUGUCCAAUGGGGUCCAGCAAUAUAAGAUGUUCCGUAUCAAGUACCAUGAUAGGGGUGCGUUGUGGGAUAGUCAACGGUAACCAGCAGCAGCAUGAUUCAUUACAUGGUUUCAUUCUUGAAUGGCAUAUCAGAAUUUUGAAAGUAUGUAGCAUAUCAGAAUUUUUGAAAGUAUGUCAGCAAUUUCAGUUCUAAAUGUUAUGUUAAAUAUUUAAACUAAGCUUUUCUGGUUCUCCAUUAUUAGAUGGUUUAUUCACUUAUUGGGUCUUAGAUCUCACUCCCUCUCACUUCUUCUUCAUUGCAAUUUUGGAUCAUCUCAACCAGGUAUAGAUUACAAGUAUCAGCAUCCUUAUCAGUAUUAGUACCAGAAAAGUUUGAUCCUGUUAAUAAAUAUGAAGAGUAUGUUCUGUAAUGUUUGGUAUGUUGAGUUGUUCAUGCUAGCUUGUUGAGGAAAUGUAUAUUGAAAUGUAUUAUGUGUGUGGAGUUAUGAAAGUUGUAGUUGUUAAAUGUGUUUUAUCUUUGAAUUGUAUGUACAAAGCUUAGUGUGAUAAAUGAAUUCUUGAGUUUAAUGUUGAGGAAUGAUGUGUUAAGGUUGAAUUGCUUGUAUUAGAAUAUUGAGAAGUUUAUUGAAUCAUAUUUAUCAGCUCAGCUAUAGUUUAGUAAUUUUCUUCACCCUUAGUUAAAGGUGGGGUGUAGCACCGUCGUUCGAUUUUAGGUGUAGGGUGUUACACCAGCAGCCACUCCGUUAGCUUCCACUCUCUUCUUUUCUUUUCCUUCCUCUCUCUCUCUCUCGGCCGAGAUUUGACGGAGGUAGCGAAGGCCUUGGCGACCCUUCGAGUGUGCCCACAGCCCCCCUGUGGCCACUGCCGGCAUCUCUUCUAGCCACCUUCUCCCUCCCUCUUCUCCCUCCUCGUCUCCUCUUUCUCUCUUUUCCUCCUCCUUGGUUCUCUUCUCUUCAAUAUUAGUUCAUGCCGAUCUGAUCCGGUACAGACCUAUACCGACUCGUACUGUCGGUCGGCCGGCACGGAUCUCGAUUCUGGUUCCGUAGUCAUUGCUUUGGUGUAUGUACCACCUACAAGCUCUUCAAAUAUGACAUCUAGCAUAUCUUGGUGAAAAAAUAAUAAAUUUAUUUAUCAAUGGUAUUCUUGAAGUUAGGGCUAAAUCACACACAAACUUAAUAGAGCAAAUUUCCAACUUUUUUUAUUAGCAUUUAUUUUUCAAUUCUAGCAGGGUGACCAAACCAUGCCAAAUCGGUUGGUUUGGGAUAUAUUGAACCAAAUCAGCACAAUUCGGCCUUUAAAUGCGAGUCGGUCGUCUAAGCUUUAUUAAUCCCACAUUCAACCUGGUUGUCUCUCCCUCCCUCCCUCCUUUCUCUAGUGCAUGCUUGACUUAGG
This 8599-nucleotide long non-coding RNA is filed under the name Elaeis guineensis (African oil palm). RNAcentral describes it as "long non-coding RNA (EGUI_LNC014012)". Lineage: Eukaryota; Viridiplantae; Streptophyta; Magnoliopsida; Arecales; Arecaceae. The record is from RNAcentral.